GUCUAUUUGUAGAUAUAAAUAGUCCAAUCUGCCCACUGAUAAAUUGUAUUAAAGGGCCGCAGUAUUCUAACUGUGCAAAGGUAGCAUAAUCGUUAGUUCUUUAAUUGAGAUCUUGUAUGAAUGAUUAGACAAAAAGGUUACUGUCUUUAUAAUAAAAAUUGAAUUUAACUUUUAAGUGAAAAGGCUUAAAUUAUUUAGAGUGACGAUAAGACCCUAUAAAGCUUAAUAUUUUAUGAAAAUGUAAAUAAUAUAGUUUAAUAAAAUUUUAAAUAUUAUAAAUAUUUUAUUGGGGUGAUAAAAGUAAAAUUAAUAAUAACUGCUUUAUGUUUAAACAAUUAUAAUUGGUUGAUUAUAAUAAAUGAUCCUGUAAUAUGGAGUAUGAGAUUAAGUUACUUUAGGGAUAACAGCGUUAUUUUUUUUGAGAGUUCUUAUCGAAAAAAGAGAUUGCGACCUCGAUGUUGAAUUAAAAUAUCUAUAUAAUUGUAGGAGUUAUAUUAGAGGGUCUGUUCGACCUUUAAAUUUUUACAUGAUUUGAGUUCAGACCGGUUUAAACCAGGUCGGUUUCUAUCUUCUAAGUUAAAUUAAUUGC
RNAcentral lists this ribosomal RNA (589 nucleotides) under Xynomaia sp. RNAcentral's name for it is "partial large subunit ribosomal RNA". It matches the Rfam family "Bacterial large subunit ribosomal RNA", at positions 1831 to 2662 of the family's 2925-position model. Lineage: Eukaryota; Metazoa; Arthropoda; Malacostraca; Decapoda; Cryptochiridae. The record is from RNAcentral.